Molecule: transfer RNA, 76 nt
Filed under: Tuberculitermes bycanistes
Lineage: Eukaryota; Metazoa; Arthropoda; Insecta; Blattodea; Termitidae
Description: tRNA-Tyr
Source: RNAcentral
AGUGGGAUGGCUGAGAACAAUAAGUAGGCGAUAGGCUGUAAAUCUAUUUAGGAGCAUUUACGUUGCUUUUCCACUA